GGGCCGGUAGUUAAACCUGGUAUAAUGCGCCCUUGGCUUGGGUGAGGCUCCGGGUUCAAAGCGAUUAUGUGAAAGUCCCGGCCGGUCCA
RNAcentral lists this transfer RNA (89 nucleotides) under Candidatus Woesearchaeota archaeon. Its description in RNAcentral is "tRNA-Ala". The record is from RNAcentral. Lineage: Archaea; Nanobdellati; Candidatus Woesearchaeota.